AACAGCUAGCUCACCUAUCUUUAUUAAUACCAAACAAUUCAUAAAUUUUACUUAACCUAAACACCUACAACUAAAACAUUUUCCUGCCUUAGUAUGGGCGACAGAAAAGGCAUUAGAAGCAAUAGAAACAGUACCGCAAGGGAAAGCUGAAAGAGAAAUGAAACAACCCAUUUAAGCUCAAAAAAGCAGAGACAUAACCUCGUACCUUUUGCAUCAUGAUUUAGCUAGAACUUUUGAGCAAAGAGAAACUUUAGUUCUUAACCCCGAAACCAAGUGAGCUACCCCGAGACAGCCUAUUUUAGGGCCAACCCGUCUCUGUAGCAAAAGAGUGGGAAGAUCUCCGGGUAGCGGUGAUAGACCUAUCGAACUUGGUGAUAGCUGGUUGCCUAAGAAAUGAAUAUUAGUUCAGCCUCGUACUCCCCCACCCAGACAAACACUUCUGUCUUAUGGCACAGAGAAAUCUACGAGAGUUAGUCAAACGGGGUACAGCCCGUCUGACCCAGGAUACAACCUGAACCAGGAGGUUAAAAGUCACACUUAACAAGAUAUGCCGCUUUAGUGGGCCUAAAAGCAGCCACCUAUUCAGAAAGCGUUAAAGCUCAGGCAGAACAAAAAUCUAUUAUUCUGAUACUCAACUCCAAACCCCUACUAUUAUUAGGCCAUUCUAUACCCCUAUAGAAGAGAUACUGCUAAAAUGAGUAACAAGAAGGGAAACCCCUUCUCCAUGCCCACCCAUAUAUUAGAUCGGACCCACCACUAAUAAUUAACGAACCCAACCCAAAGAGGGAAAAGUGAUCAAAUACUAAAACCAAGAAAAUCUCACAUUAACCAAUCGUUAACCCCACACUGGAGGGCUUCAAGGAAAGAUUAAAAGAAAGGGAAGGAACUCGGCAAAUACAAGCCUCGCCUGUUUACCAAAAACAUCGCCUCCUGCAAAAAUCAACGUAUAGGAGGUCUUGCCUGCCCAGUGACUAAGUUAAACGGCCGCGGUAUUUUGACCGUGCAAAGGUAGCGCAAUCACUUGUUUUUUAAAUGAAGACCUGUAUGAAUGGUGAAACGAGGGCUUAACUGUCUCCCCUUUCUGAUCAGUGAAAUUGAUCUACCCGUGCAGAAGCGGGUAUAAAUGUACAAGACGAGAAGACCCUAUGGAGCUUAAGACACAAAGUUAACUGCGUUAAUAAACCCUUAUUAAAGGAAAAAACAAAACAGUAACUAAUUUAACGUCUUCGGUUGGGGCGACCGCGGGGGAAAAAAAAUCCCCCACGUGGAACUAGAUAUUUUUCUAAACCACGAGGCACACCUCUAAGUCACAGAAUUUCUGACCAAAAGAUCCGGCAUUCAGCCGAUCAACGGACCAAGUUACCCUAGGGAUAACAGCGCAAUCCCCUCCAAGAGUCCAUAUCGACAAGGGGGUUUACGACCUCGAUGUUGGAUCAGGACAUCCUAAUGGUGCAGCCGCUAUUAAGGGUUCGUUUGUUCAACGAUUAAAGUCCUACGUGAUCUGAGUUCAGACCGAAGCAAUUCAGGUCAGUUUCUAUCUGUAAAGUUACCUCUCCUAGUACGAAAGGACCGGAAACGUAAGGCCUAUAUUUCAGACACGCCUUACUUCUACUUAAUGAAAACAACUUAAUUAAAUAAAGAAGAACACAAAAUACCCAAAGAUAUUUGGGG
RNAcentral lists this ribosomal RNA (1671 nucleotides) under Megalamphodus megalopterus (black phantom tetra). Its description in RNAcentral is "Hyphessobrycon megalopterus (black phantom tetra) 16S ribosomal RNA". The stretch from base 92 to 1592 matches the Rfam family "Bacterial large subunit ribosomal RNA". Lineage: Eukaryota; Metazoa; Chordata; Actinopteri; Characiformes; Acestrorhamphidae. The record is from RNAcentral.